Long non-coding RNA from Lepisosteus oculatus (spotted gar), 1314 nucleotides. RefSeq lists it as uncharacterized. Lineage: Eukaryota; Metazoa; Chordata; Actinopteri; Semionotiformes; Lepisosteidae. The record is from RefSeq and is a predicted model, not a curated record.
AACCAUUUUAUUGUUCAUAAUAUACAUAAUUGUUACGUCCUGUACAAACAUUGCAACGAACCAAUGCGUAGAGCACAAUUUUGUUUAUAAAUGAAGUACAGUAUAUAUGCAAUAAGAGGUAUUAAAAACAAAAAAUGAAUAUUUGAAACUAGCAUUCCUUGAGAUUUGAAUAACUCAGUGUUUGUUAAAAAUGUACAGUAGAAUGUGAUAAUGUGCUAAAACAAAACGUGUGAUCGUUUUAAAAGGUACUUCAUAACUGUAAGACAAUAAUCUUUUUUUGUUACUUGAUUUCAUAACCUCCAUAGCCCUCUACUCAAGCUUCUCUUCUCUGUCCUGAGCUAUAAUUAUGGACAAGUGCAAUCAUUUGUUCUACAAUGUCCUCACAUCUGAGUUUUGUCAUUUUAGCUGGUAAAAUUACUCAAUGGACUGUUUACCACUAGAAGAUGCAACUAGUAUUAAAAAAACUAUUUACACCUGUACUAAUGGAUUAAUUAUAUUCUGCCUUUCUUGAGAUUUCUACUUGCUUCCCCAAACCCUGAAAGAUUAAGUGAUUUGUGCAGUGAAGCUAUUUUUUCACUUUUACAUUUGAAAAUGUAACUGGAUCACAUGUCAGGAAUUAGUCACAGCCAUGUGCUUCUUCUACUGAAUAUAGUGCUUAGUUGAAAACUUGAAUCUUGAAAUCACCAAAAUUUUGCACAGGAUUUAUUAUUUCAAUAAACAAUAAACAAACUUUCUAACCCCAAUAUUACAUAAAUGUUUGUUUCCCAACAACUUAAAAUACAAGGGGAGAGUUUUCUAAAGAUUUUAAUAAGUCUACCUAAAACACAUAUUGUGUUACAUAUAACAUUACAAUAUGUAUGAUUCAUAAUCAGUGCCUAUAAAAAGCCAACAAUCCUUUAAAAAUAUUCACUUUUUUGUUGCCUAGAAACAAAAUAGAAUAGAAAUGAAAAGUCUUUAUCUACACAUCCAUUCUAGAAUCUUUUAGAAAAUUUCAGCAAAAAAGCAGAAACAGGGACCGACAUUCACCUUUCAGCAUGACACCAACCUAAAGCACACAGUAGAAAAAGCAACACUGGAGCAGAUUAAGAACAAAAAGGUAAAUGUCCUUGUGGGGCCCAGUCAGAACCCAAAUGUAAAUCCAAUCAAAAGUUUGUACCAUGACUUGAAAACCGUUGUCCAUCAACACUCCCCCAGGAGCUUGACAGACUCGAACAGUCCUGUAAAGAACAGCGGUCAAUCAUCGCCAAAUAUAGAUGGGUGAUGACUUUUUCCCAUAUUGCAACAUGAAUAAAGACCUUACUGAGUGAAUGAGAA